Long non-coding RNA from Oxyura jamaicensis (ruddy duck), 842 nucleotides. RefSeq lists it as uncharacterized. The record is from RefSeq and is a predicted model, not a curated record. Lineage: Eukaryota; Metazoa; Chordata; Aves; Anseriformes; Anatidae. The transcript has 3 exons.
AAUAAACUGUUGAUUUAUCUAAUCAAUUAUCACUAAUAGCACCCAGCAAAACCUGUCUGCAUAUUACUUUGUUCUGGAAUGGAUUUAUCUGUGGAUUUUGUUAUGCAAAGCAAUAGGAGGGAUAGUAACAGCACCUGCAUUAGGGUUCACGGUCACUUGGGAACUCCCAGACAAGCUCUGGACGACAGCUGCCAUGCCGGAGACAACUGACAGCCACCACAAGGAUCACUACAAUGGAGAAGUGAGAAACAACCCGUCUGGAGCUUGAACAGCACAUAAUUGAAAUCCCAAGUGCCGGGGUUAAUCUCUGUUUUAGGAACAGUGCCUUUCCCAUGGGAAAACACUUUCACCUGGGCCUUAAGGGCUUCAGCCCUCAGGACCAGGUCCCUUCAGAAGUAUAGGCGGGGAAAACUGAGAAGACAUCUACUAGAGGAUGAUGGCCAGAAAUACCUGCAAGGUGUACCUUAACAUGUGAUUGCUCCAGGCAGAAAAGGGAGUAAAUAAAUCCACUGGUCAUGUGAGAAUGGUUCUCAGGAAAAGGACCUAACUUUAUAGUGACAGGUUUUGGAAAAUAAUCGCUGGUUGUUGGAACUGCUCUGUGUACAGCAACGUUUUGAAAGGGAAAAACAAGGCAAGGAUGGACUGGCAGGAAACUGUCCCUGUAGCUUGACCGUCUCCUGGAUUCCAGACAGCAGACAUUGUAUAUUCUUGCAAACAGAAUUGCAUUAAUGAUAAUUGACUCUGCAAGUAGUGUUACCCCUCUUUAAGACUCCAGCCUUUGGCUUAUUGUUCUGCUGAGUCUGUCAGUUACCAUGACGUUAAACUUUGGACAAUAACAUUCA